RNAcentral lists this ribosomal RNA (803 nucleotides) under Radulidium sp. DBP-2014. Its description in RNAcentral is "eukaryotic LSU rRNA". It matches the Rfam family "Eukaryotic large subunit ribosomal RNA", at positions 84 to 914 of the family's 3401-position model. Lineage: Eukaryota; Fungi; Ascomycota; Dothideomycetes; Acrospermales; Acrospermaceae. The record is from RNAcentral.
UAACGGCGAGUGAAGCGGCAACAGCUCAAAUUUGAAACCUGCCAACAGGCCGGAUUGUAAUUUGCAGAGGAUACUUCGGCCCCGGUGCUGCUCUAGGUUCUUUGGAACAGGACGCCACAGAGGGUGAGAGCCCCGUCUAUGGGCGGUGCUUGGGGCCAUGUGAAGUGCCUUCGACGAGUCGAGUUGUUUGGGAAUGCAGCUCUAAAUGGGAGGUAAAUUUCUUCCAAGGCUAAAUACCGGCUGGAGACCGAUAGCGCACAAGUAGAGUGAUCGAAAGAUGAAAAGUACUUUGGAAAGAGAGUCAAACAGCACGUGAAAUUGUUGAAAGGGAAGCGCUUGCAGUCAGACUUGGCUGCCCGGUUCGGCGGUGCCUCGUGUACCGUCUCUGCCGCGGCGGCCAGGCCAGCAUUGGUUUGGGCGGUCGGAUAAAGGCUGCGGGAAUGUAGCACCCUCCGGGGUGUGUUAUAGCCCGCGGCAUAAUACGACCAGCCCGGACCAAGGAACGCGCUUCGGCUCGGAUGCUGGCGUAAUGGCUGUAAGCGGCCCGUCUUGAAACACGGACCAAGGAGUCUAACAUCUAUGCGAGUGUUCGGGUGUCAAGCCCGUGCGCGCAAUGAAAGUGAACGGAGGUGGGAGCUUCGGCGCACCAUCGACCGAUCCUGAUGUCUUCGGAAGGAUUUGAGUACGAGCAUAGCUGUUGGGACCCGAAAGAUGGUGAACUAUGCCUAAACAGGGUGAAGCCAGAGGAAACUCUGGUGGAGGCUCGCAGCGGUUCUGACGUCGCAAUCGAUCGUCAAAUUUGG